AAGGAUUUAAGUUAAAAAUAAACUAAUAGCCUUCAAAGCUGUAAAUAGAUUAUUAGUCUAAGCCUUA
RNAcentral lists this transfer RNA (67 nucleotides) under Cucujoidea sp. 37 KM-2017. RNAcentral's name for it is "tRNA-Trp". Lineage: Eukaryota; Metazoa; Arthropoda; Insecta; Coleoptera. The record is from RNAcentral.